Long non-coding RNA from Hemicordylus capensis (graceful crag lizard), 393 nucleotides. RefSeq lists it as uncharacterized. The transcript is spliced from 4 exons. The record is from RefSeq and is a predicted model, not a curated record. NCBI's taxonomy places the organism in Eukaryota, Metazoa, Chordata, Lepidosauria, Squamata, Cordylidae.
GUUACAGAGAGCAUCAAUGGACAGUAGAGCUACUUUGUAGCAGCCAGCAGAGAAAGAGCUUCUUUCUCCUGGAAGCCAUAGAGGUCUGCAACCUGUAGGUGUUCCUCCACAUGUUCGUGUCCCCAUCCCAGUUGGUUCUGCAAAGGUUGAACAGCUGUACCUGGACCACUUCACUGCUGCACCUGGUGAGAGGACUCUUAUUUGAUGAGCCUUGAGGUUGAUGCUGCACUCAGUGUGGAACAGUCGGUAGUGAUCUUGAGAAAUUUUGUCAGGAGGUCAGCCAAGUUUUUGCAACUCAUUCUCACCCUGACACUUGGUCUGCUGCUUCCACCCGCCCGCCGCCGAAUCCUUUCUUCCAUGCUGUGUGUCCGUGUGUGUCCUCGUCGUCCUGCC